UACAGAGGUGGCGAGCGUUGUUCGGAUUUACUGGGCGUAAAGGGCGCGUAGGCGGCCGGAUGUGUCGGAUGUGAAAUCUCCGGGCUCAACCCGGAAAGUGCGUUCGAAACUGUCCGGCUCGAGUGCGGAAGGGGAGUGCGGAAUGCAGGGUGUAGCGGUGAAAUGCGUUGAUAUCCUGCAGAACACCGGUGGCGAAGGCGGCACUCUGGGACGCAACUGACGCUGAGGCGCGAAAGCGUGGGGAGCAAAC
RNAcentral lists this ribosomal RNA (250 nucleotides) under uncultured prokaryote. RNAcentral describes it as "partial 16S ribosomal RNA". It matches the Rfam family "Bacterial small subunit ribosomal RNA", at positions 524 to 773 of the family's 1533-position model. The record is from RNAcentral.